RNAcentral lists this ribosomal RNA (253 nucleotides) under uncultured bacterium. RNAcentral's name for it is "partial 16S ribosomal RNA". It matches the Rfam family "Bacterial small subunit ribosomal RNA", at positions 524 to 776 of the family's 1533-position model. The record is from RNAcentral.
GACGAACCGUGCGAACGUUAUUCGGAAUCACUGGGCUUAAAGGGAGCGUAGGCGGGCUAUCAAGUCUGGGGUGAAAUGCCGCGGCUCAACCGUGGAACUGCCUCAGAUACUGACGGCCUCGAGGGAGAUAGGGGCAUGCGGAACUGUAGGUGGAGCGGUGAAAUGCGUUGAUAUCGUAAGGAACACCCGUGGCGAAAGCGGCUCACUGGGUCUUCUCUGACGCUGAUGCACGAAAGCUAGGGGAGCAAACGGG